AGUUGACCUCGGAUCAGGUAGGAGUACCCGCUGAACUUAAGCAUAUUCAAUAAGCGGAGGAA
Molecule: ribosomal RNA, 62 nt
Filed under: Hirsutella citriformis
Lineage: Eukaryota; Fungi; Ascomycota; Sordariomycetes; Hypocreales; Ophiocordycipitaceae
Description: partial 28S ribosomal RNA
Source: RNAcentral